RNAcentral lists this ribosomal RNA (531 nucleotides) under uncultured Lactobacillus sp. RNAcentral describes it as "bacterial SSU rRNA". It matches the Rfam family "Bacterial small subunit ribosomal RNA", at positions 67 to 576 of the family's 1533-position model. Lineage: Bacteria; Bacillati; Bacillota; Bacilli; Lactobacillales; Lactobacillaceae. The record is from RNAcentral.
UUUAUCACCGAGUGCUUGCACUCACCGAUAAAGAGUUGAGUGGCGAACGGGUGAGUAACACGUGGGCAACCUGCCCAAAAGAGGGGGAUAACACUUGGAAACAGGUGCUAAUACCGCAUAACCAUAGUUACCGCAUGGUAACUAUGUAAAAGGUGGCUAUGCUACCGCUUUUGGAUGGCCCCGCGGCGCAUUAGCUAGUUGGUGGGGUAAAGGCUUACCAAGGCAAUGAUGCGUACCGAACUGAGAGGUUGAUCGGCCACAUUGGGACUGAGACACGGCCCAAACUCCUACGGGAGGCAGCAGUAGGGAAUCUUCCACAAUGGGCGAAACCUGAUGGAGCAACGCCGCGUGGGUGAAGAAGGUCUUCGGAUCGUAAAACCCUGUUGUUAGAGAAGAAAGUGCGUGAGAGURACUGUUCACGUUUCGACGGUAUCUAACCAGAAAGCCACGGCUAACUACGUGCCAGCAGCCGCGGUAAUACGUAGGUGGCAARCGUUAUCCGGAUUUAUUGGGCGUAAAGGGAACGCAGGC